CUUCUCUCUCUUCUCUCUGGCGAUUCAAAUGACGAUUCAAAAACCAGAUCUGCGAUUUCAGGUAAAUCUCUGCUUUCAGAUCUACACAACUAUGCUUCAUAUUCAGGGCUUUUUAUGAUCCCGGAUGGAAGCUUACUGUUGAGGAGUAUUAUGAUCGGCAGAGUAAGCAUAUUUUGGAUACGAUUGUUGAGACUCUGUUGAAGGAUGAAAGGAGGAAGUUUAUUUGGGAAGAGAUGUCGUAUUUGGAGAGGUGAUGGCGGGAUGCUCCGGAUGCGAAAAAGGAGGCUUUGGUUCGGUUGCUGCAGAAUGGACAGUUGGAGAUAGUUGGUGGUGGUUGGGUGAUGAAUGAUGAGGCCAAUUCACAUUAUUUUGCCAUCAUUGAACAGGCUACAUGUUGAGGACCGAGAUAUUGGUUUGUGAAUUUAGGGCUUUUGGCUUGCUUUUAUGAAUGCUAUAGACAGCGAUACAUUGGUUGGGAAAAAAUAAAUUUUAUUUAAAUCUGUAAUGUACUAAAGUUGGAUAUAUAUUAACGGUAUGUUCUAUUUAGGAAGUACACCUCGAUGCUUGAAUUUUGAGAUAAAGAUAAACAAAUAACCAUGGUGCAACUGGAUGGUUUGUUAACACUGGCUGGUCAGGUGGAAGGUAAGUAUUGGGAAAUAUUGUCUGUAUAGUUGUGUUAAUCCAGUGAGAAAAUAAUAUUGCAUACUAAACCAGCCGAUUUCGGGUUUUUUUUUCGGUUUCAGUCCUAAACCAGUUUUUUUGUUGGAAUUUCUACUUUUACUUUUGUUGUUGAAAUGCCCAAAUCGAAGCAAGUUGCCCAGUUUGAUAUCUAAAUGUUUCGGUUAAGGUAUGGUGUUCCCGGAUUAAUGAUGUGGUUUGGUACUGGCCUUGUAAACUGAAUCGGUUGUUUAACUUCUAUUCUAUUUAUAUUUUUGGAAUAUGUAGUUAUGUAUAUGUAUAUGUAUUAUAAUAUUGAAUCCUAAUUAUCAAUGGAAAAUUUUCAUAGUAUACUAAUGGUUUCUUUUUUUUUAAAUACUUGGUUCAAGCCGCCCAAAACGAACCAAGUCGGUUGGUUUGAUAUCUAAAGGGUUCGGUUCUGGUGGUUUGACAGCUUGGUUUGGAACUUUGAACUAACCGUGUAAACCGAACAAGUUAUUUAACUUUAUUGGAGAUAGCUAUGCUGGAGGCAAGGCGUCAGCGUGUUAAAGAAAAUGUUGCCCUUCUCAUUAAGGAAGAGGAAGAAAAGAAAGCGAGGGAAGGCAGUGGUCGUAAAAUAACAAGCAUGGGUACACUACAUUUUCUUUUUUUACUUAAAUUAUAAAUUUUCAACUUUAACCAAAUAAAUGGAUCAAUAUCCUUUGCUUAUUCACCUCGCUUACAUUUGUAAAGGUAAAGACGAUGUUGUCAAAAUGGUUUCGAGUCGGAUAAUUGGUCAAAAUGGGUUCGAGUCUGUUUGAGAUGACCUGGGACACCUUUUUGUCUAAAACAUUCAGCUUUUUAAUAAAUAUUUUCUAACUGUUGUUCCUUUUCCAGUCCGGAAACAUUGAAGAUGCUGAAAUGAAGCGUACAUUUAAUAUGGGAAUCGGUUGUUUAACUUCUAUUAUAUUUAUAUUUUUGGAAUAUGUAGUUAUGUAUAUGUAUAUGUAUUAUAAUAUUGAAUCCUAAUUAUCAAUGGAAAAUUUUCAU
Long non-coding RNA from Helianthus annuus (common sunflower), 1686 nucleotides. RefSeq lists it as uncharacterized. The record is from RefSeq and is a predicted model, not a curated record. The transcript has 7 exons. Lineage: Eukaryota; Viridiplantae; Streptophyta; Magnoliopsida; Asterales; Asteraceae.